Molecule: long non-coding RNA, 456 nt
Filed under: Gossypium barbadense (sea-island cotton)
Lineage: Eukaryota; Viridiplantae; Streptophyta; Magnoliopsida; Malvales; Malvaceae
Description: long non-coding RNA (GBAR_LNC002585)
Source: RNAcentral
ACCUCCUACGGUGGUUGCCAAAGCUCCGAGUCAACCCGAAAUAGGCCAUGGACUUUGAUCUACCAAAUGAUAAGAAUGCCUCUAAGAUUCAAUCAUAAACCACUUUGCCUCGGUUGUAUGUAAACCCCCCUUCACCCCCAUCCCCUAAAGUGGUAAAGAAGGGUUAGGGUCUAAUUUUCUUUCUAUCUGACAGGACAAAGAAAUAGGGAAGGGAUGGUUCUUUCUUUUAAACUAUUUAUGGGUCUACCUAGGAUACGAUACUGGUUGUCGGGUAAGGCUUUCGAACAGGCAACAGGCUUACAGCAGGAAUGAAUAAGUGAGACCAUACGCGAACGGCUGAGCUCAGUCUUCCCUGUAAGAAAAGUAGCGGUCGUGCUAGAGACGGUCUAUUGUGUUUUUCUUGACUCAUCAUUGAUAUUUUGGAAAAGCAAGAAAGAAGAAAGGGGAGCUUAAAGC